UAGGGAAUCUUCCGCAAUGGGCGAAAGCCUGACGGAGCAACGCCGCGUGAGUGAUGAAGGUCUUCGGAUCGUAAAACUCUGUUAUUAGGGAAGAACAAAUGUGUAAGUAACUAUGCACGUCUUGACGGUACCUAAUCAGAAAGCCACGGCUAACUACGUGCCAGCAGCCGCGGUAAUACGUAGGUGGCAAGCGUUAUCCGGAAUUAUCGGGCGUAAAGCGCGCGUAGGCGGUUUUUUAAGUCUGAUGUGAAAGCCCACGGCUCAACCGUGGAGGGUCAUUGGAAACUGGAAAACUUGAGUGCAGAAGAGGAAAGUGAAAUUCCAUGUGUGGCGGUGAAAUGCGCAGAGAUAUGGAGGAACACCAGUGGCGAAGGCGACUUUCUGGUCUGUAACUGACGCUGAUGUGCGAAAGCGUGGGGAUCAAACAGG
This 429-nucleotide ribosomal RNA is filed under the name Actinomycetes bacterium. RNAcentral describes it as "Actinobacteria bacterium partial 16S ribosomal RNA". It matches the Rfam family "Bacterial small subunit ribosomal RNA", at positions 355 to 776 of the family's 1533-position model. Lineage: Bacteria; Bacillati; Actinomycetota; Actinomycetes. The record is from RNAcentral.